CAGUUUCUCAACCACACUCCUGGUGUGUGUGGCUUGGAUUGUGGGGGUUUUUGCAGGCUUUGACAAUGAAGUCUGCUCCCCUGAAAUGCAUUAGUAGUAUCUGAGCUUACUGCAAAGGUGUGAUAAUUUAUCUAUGCCAUUGGUAUGCUGCAUGCACUGCUUCUAACAUGACGUUUGAUGAA
This 182-nucleotide unclassified non-coding RNA is filed under the name uncultured Agaricales. Its description in RNAcentral is "sequence contains ITS2". The record is from RNAcentral. Lineage: Eukaryota; Fungi; Basidiomycota; Agaricomycetes; Agaricales.